AGAUUUUGAUCUUGGUCUCAGACAGAAGCGCGGGCGGCGUGCUUUAACACAUGCAAGUCGAGCGGUCGGAGAGGAGCUUGCUCCCUGAAGUCAGCGGCGGACGGGUGAGUAACACGUGGGCAACCUGCCUGUAAGACUGGGGAUAACUCCGGGAAACCGGGGCUAAUACCGGAUAACACUUUCCAUCACAUGAGGGAAUGCUGAAAGAUGGUUUACGCUAUCACUAACAGAUGGGCCCGCGGCGCAUUAGCUAGUUGGUGAGGUAACGGCUCACCAAGGCCACGAUGCGUAGCCGACCUGAGAGGGUGAUCGGCCACACUGGGACUGAGACACGGCCCAGACUCCUACGGGAGGCAGCAGUAGGGAAUCUUCCGCAAUGGACGAAAGCCUGACGGAGCAACGCCGCGUGAGUGAUGAAGGUUUUCGGAUCGUAAAACUCUGUUGUAAGGGAAGAACAAGUACCGGAGUAACUGCCGGUACCUUGACGGUACCUGACCAGAAAGCCACGGCUAACUACGUGCCAGCAGCCGCGGUAAUACGUAGGUGGCAAGCGUUGUCCGGAAUUAUUGGGCGUAAAGCGCGCGCAGGCGGUUCCUUAAGUCUGAUGUGAAAGCCCCCGGCUCAACCGGGGAGGGUCAUUGGAAACUGGGGAACUUGAGUGCAGAAGAGAAAAGUGGAAUUCCAAGUGUAGCGGUGAAAUGCGUAGAGAUGUGGAGGAACACCAGUGGCGAAGGCGACUUUUUGGUCUGUAACUGACGCUGAGGCGCGAAAGCGUGGGGAGCAAACAGGAUUAGAUACCCUGGUAGUCCACGCCGUAAACGAUGAGUGCUAAGUGUUAGAGGGUUUCCGCCCUUUAGUGCUGCAGCAAACGCAUUAAGCACUCCGCCUGGGGAGUACGGCCGCAAGGCUGAAACUCAAAGGAAUUGACGG
This 930-nucleotide ribosomal RNA is filed under the name Cytobacillus firmus. RNAcentral's name for it is "bacterial SSU rRNA". It matches the Rfam family "Bacterial small subunit ribosomal RNA", at positions 9 to 916 of the family's 1533-position model. Lineage: Bacteria; Bacillati; Bacillota; Bacilli; Caryophanales; Bacillaceae. The record is from RNAcentral.